AACGAACGCUGGCGGCAGGCUUAACACAUGCAAGUCGAACGCAUCCUUCGGGGUGAGUGGCAGACGGGUGAGUAACGCGUGGGAACGUGCCCUUCAGUUCGGGAUAACCCAGGGAAACUUGGGCUAAUACCGGAUACGUGCGAGAGCAGAAAGAUUUAACGCUGAAGGAUCGGCCCGCGUCUGAUUAGCUAGUUGGUGGGGUAAUGGCCCACCAAGGCGACGAUCAGUAGCUGGUCUGAGAGGAUGAUCAGCCACAUUGGGACUGAGACACGGCCCAAACUCCGACGGGAGGCAGCAGUGGGGAAUAUUGGACAAUGGGCGCAAGCCUGAUGCAGCGACGCCGCGUGAGGGAUGACGGCCUUCGGGUUGCAAACCUCUUUCAGCACCGACGAAGUGCAAGUGACGGUAGGUGCAGAAGAAGGACCGGCCAACUACGUGCCAGCAGCCGCAGUAA
This 454-nucleotide ribosomal RNA is filed under the name uncultured bacterium. RNAcentral's name for it is "partial 16S ribosomal RNA". It matches the Rfam family "Bacterial small subunit ribosomal RNA", at positions 29 to 523 of the family's 1533-position model. The record is from RNAcentral.